GUUUAGAAGAGAAGGUAUGAGCAUGGAUAUUGUCUCGAAGGCUAUGGAAUAACUGGAAUGCUGGCCAUCUCUGAAAUUGUGGUCCACCCGUACAAUGAAAUAUGGUGCAGCCCAUACAAGUAAAAUUGCAGGUAAAGAUUGAAUGCACGGAAUGUGUGUUGUUGCAUUUGAAGGGGGAGAGGAGAGAAAAGUGGUGUGUGUGUGGUUCUGUAUGUGUGUGUUUGUGUGUGGUUGUGCGGGGGAUAUGGGAGGGACUUGGUUGUGUGCGUGAUUAUGUGUGUGUAUGUGUGGUUGUGUAUAUGUUGUGUGUGUGGUUGUUUGUGUGGUAAUGUAUGUGC
This 338-nucleotide long non-coding RNA is filed under the name Equus caballus (horse). RNAcentral's name for it is "lncRNA (ENSECAG00000048555.1)". The record is from RNAcentral. Lineage: Eukaryota; Metazoa; Chordata; Mammalia; Perissodactyla; Equidae.